Perognathus longimembris pacificus (Pacific pocket mouse) is the source of this 346-nucleotide long non-coding RNA. RefSeq lists it as uncharacterized. The transcript is spliced from 3 exons. NCBI's taxonomy places the organism in Eukaryota, Metazoa, Chordata, Mammalia, Rodentia, Heteromyidae. The record is from RefSeq and is a predicted model, not a curated record.
CUGCCUCCCUAACAAUGAUUUCAAAGUUGAAGCAGUGCUUGCACCUCCCGAGGUAGCUGGUUUAUUGCCAGCAAUGUCUGAGGAUGUCUAUGCUGACAUAGAAUGUGAGCUCUGGGAGGAAAUUAAGUUGUUGAAACAGAGAUAUGAAAGGAUCUUCCAGUCACUUGACAAAUUGGAAGAGAUUCUGGAAACCAAAAGAGAAUAAGGAAACACUAAAGAAUGAAAAUUGCAAUUUGAUUUGGCACCUUGAGAGAGCAUCCAGCCUUACCCACUAGACCACCAGGGAAUAAUUUGUCACCUUGAGAAGACUGAAAAAAAUCAACAUCUUCCUCAAAGAAAAUGGAAU